This 409-nucleotide non-coding RNA is filed under the name Pan troglodytes (chimpanzee). The record is from RNAcentral. Lineage: Eukaryota; Metazoa; Chordata; Mammalia; Primates; Hominidae.
CUGUGGGAGCAGCAUCAAGCAAGACUUCGGGCAGUGAUUCUAACUAUUGCCCAUGAACACCGUGGCUGGGACGACUUUGACGAGGCAAUUUAUUACUUACGCAUAGAACACUGGCUGUGCUGAAACUGGGAGCGCAAACAGCCCCUUGUUUUCUAAUUUAGAGACUUGCAUCUUUUCGACACUCAACAGUAUCAAGACACUCUGCUACUACAGAUUGAUUUCCACCAUCAACACCUUUACCUCUUCCCGCCUGAAAAUAAAAUAUGAAAUAUAACAAGUAAAUCGCAAUCUACCUUGAAUCUUCUGGAGAGGGAAAGAAGAAACCAUGUCUAGACAAGGUGCUGGAAAGACCCAGGGAAGACACAGGGAAAUCAUCUUUUGGGAAUUUAUCUAAGAAGAACUUCUUAUG